Molecule: small RNA, 67 nt
Filed under: Acididesulfobacillus acetoxydans
Lineage: Bacteria; Bacillati; Bacillota; Clostridia; Eubacteriales; Peptococcaceae
Description: Peptococcaceae bacterium INE non-coding RNA
Source: RNAcentral
GUUUCAAUUCCUCAUAGGCAGGCUAUCGGCUCGCGACGGAGUGCAGGGCGCGAAAUUCAGCCUCACG